UAACGGCGAGUGAAGCGGUAAAAGCUCAAAUUUGAAAUCUGGUACUUUCAGUGCCCGAGUUGUAAUUUGUAGAAUUUGUCUUUGAUUAGGUCCUUGUCUAUGUUCCUUGGAACAGGACGUCAUAGAGGGUGAGAAUCCCGUUUGGCGAGGAUACCUUUUCUCUGUAAGACUUUUUCGAAGAGUCGAGUUGUUUGGGAAUGCAGCUCAAAGUGGGUGGUAAAUUCCAUCUAAAGCUAAAUAUUGGCGAGAGACCGAUAGCGAACAAGUACAGUGAUGGAAAGAUGAAAAGAACUUUGAAAAGAGAGUGAAAAAGUACGUGAAAUUGUUGAAAGGGAAGGGCAUUUGAUCAGACAUGGUGUUUUUUGCAUGCACUCGCCUCUCGUGGGCUUGGGCCUCUCAAAAAUUUCACUGGGCCAACAUCAAUUCUGGCAGCAGGAUAAAUCAUUAAGAAUGUAGCUACUUUGGUAGUGUUAUAGCUUUUUGGAAUACUGUUAGCCGGGAUUGAGGACUGCGCUUCGGCAAGGAUGUUGGCAUAAUGGUUAAAUGCCGCCCGUCUUGAAACACGGAC
This 568-nucleotide ribosomal RNA is filed under the name Hanseniaspora uvarum. RNAcentral's name for it is "partial large subunit ribosomal RNA". It matches the Rfam family "Eukaryotic large subunit ribosomal RNA", at positions 84 to 666 of the family's 3401-position model. The record is from RNAcentral. Lineage: Eukaryota; Fungi; Ascomycota; Saccharomycetes; Saccharomycodales; Saccharomycodaceae.